CGAGGGGCUGAGCGAGAGCCUCCGACUUCCUCCUGGCCCAGGCGAGCGCAGCAGCCGCAGGCGAUGUGUCCCGGCCGGCGCUGCUGGGGCCUCGGCUCCCUCCUGCUGCUGCUGCUGCUGCUCGGGCGAAACCUGGGCUUCCUCGUGGAAAUCCCCCAGGAUGCAGUCACUGGCACCGUGGGGCAGUCCGUGCUCCUGCCCGUCUCCUACAGAUGCGACAGCACCUCUUGCUUCCCACUGUCAAUUAGGUGGCUGUUUGGUCACACCUCACAAGUAAUCAUCGCUUGCUCAGUGCGGAAGUGCUCCCUGGAUGAUGGGGGGGCUCCCAAGAACUGCUCCACAGAAUGUUACCCCUAUCCUGCACACUGGGGCCGUGUUGAGCUCUUCCCCAAGAACGCAUCCCUGCUGCUGCGGGACCUGCGGCUCAGUGACAGCGGGGUGUACACCGUCAGCCUCCAGCACCAAAUACAAAUCAGGCACAUCACCCUGACCGUGCUCCAGCAGCCUGUCCCCACAGGUCCUACCAGCAAAGGCACUUCUCAACCAGCAGGAAGAAUAGCCACACGCAUCCCUUGCUGCAUCCUCGGAGGCUGCUACUGCUUCAUCCUGCUGCUCCUGCAGCUGCUCUUCCACCUGUGCUGGCUGCGGGGCAGCCGUGGGGAAGCCUGCGGCUGCUGCUGGGGAGAAGGGAGCCAGCGUGCGGGAGCAGCCAGGGCCGGGGCACAAUGAAGUGCCCAGAUUGGGGGCACAGGGGACACCCCACAGCCCCCUCUGUCCCCGCAGCCCCAAAGCGUGCAGGUGGCACAGGAAGGAGCCGGGGCUCGCCCGCCCGCCCGCAGCGAACCCCACGGCGCCGAGGGGCUGAGCGAGAGCCUCCGACUUCCUCCUGGCCCAGGCGAGCGCAGCAGCCGCAGGCGAUGUGUCCCGGCCGGCGCUGCUGGGGCCUCGGCUCCCUCCUGCUGCUGCUGCUGCUGCUCGGGCGAAACCUGGGCUUCCUCGUGGAAAUCCCGCAGGAUGCAGUCACUGGCACCGUGGGGCAGUCCGUGCUCCUGCCCGUCUCCUACAGAUGCAACAGCUCCCCUUGCUUCCCACUGUCAAUUAGGUGGAUGUUUGGUCACACCUCACAAGUGAUCAUCGCUUGCUCAGUGCGGAAGUGCUCCCUGGAUGAUGGGGGGGCUCCCAAGAUCUGCAGCAAAAAGUGUUACCCCUAUCCUGCACACUGGGGCCGUGUUGAGCUCUUCCCCGAGAACGCAUCCCUGCUGCUGCGGGACCUGCGGCUCAGUGACAGCGGGGUGUGCACCGUCAGCCUCCAGCACCAAAGACAAAGCAGGCACAUCACCCUGACCGUGCUCGAGCAGCCUGUCCCCACAGGUCCUACCAGCAAAGGCAUCAGCAAGCAAGACCACAUACAAAACUACAUAAUUGGAGCUUGCUCAUUAAUCUUCCUCCUUCUGCUGUUCCUGGUCUUCUGCGUUUGGCGCUGGGUGCAGAAGAAGAAGCUGAGAAUCGUUAAACAACAGCAGGUACAGAAAAAAAAAAUUUUUUUGAACAUUCUUUAGUUAAAUGCUAACUGCUGGCUUGAAUAAGAUGCACUGAGCUACAAGAAUUGGUUGCUGAAUUUAAAAUUAGGAAGUGAAUUCUGUGUUGUAAGGGCAAGCUGCAAAGUGGAGCCCCCCGAGGAUAACACUGCGGUGGGGGAAGUAACAACCAUUUAUUCCAGAGUCGGAGACAGCUUUGAACAUCCAGAGCUGAGAGAAUCAGCACAGGUCAUCUACUCGUCCAUAACCUCCCUCAAUUCCUGAGGACAGGACUGGGCACCACCAGCUCCUGCUUUGGCUGCGGGAGCUGCCCGCAGAGCUCUGAACUUUGCAGGAGAGAGCCCUGCCGAAAAGGUGGCUGGUGAUUUUGUCACUGACCAGAGAAAGGGGCCCAAGGUAAAGGCAAAUCAGCCGUGCAUCCAUGGGAAGCCUGAUUCCACUGACUCACCUUAAUCUGAGGGCUAACGGAGAGCACUGGAUGUAUUUCAGUCCUGUGCUCCAGGGUCAC
This is a non-coding RNA of Anas platyrhynchos (mallard), 2046 nucleotides long. The record is from RefSeq and is a predicted model, not a curated record. NCBI's taxonomy places the organism in Eukaryota, Metazoa, Chordata, Aves, Anseriformes, Anatidae.